This 497-nucleotide ribosomal RNA is filed under the name uncultured bacterium. RNAcentral's name for it is "partial 16S ribosomal RNA". It matches the Rfam family "Bacterial small subunit ribosomal RNA", at positions 28 to 507 of the family's 1533-position model. The record is from RNAcentral.
GAUGAACGCUGGCGGCGUGCCUAAUACAUGCAAGUCGAGCGAACAGAUGAGGAGCUUGCUCCUCUGACGUUAGCGGCGGACGGGUGAGUAACACGUGGAUAACCUACCUAUAAGACUGGGAUAACUUCGGGAAACCGGAGCUAAUACCGGAUAAUAUAUUGAACCGCAUGGUUCUAUAGUGAAAGACGGUUUUGCUGUCACUUAUAGAUGGAUCCGCGCCGCAUUAGCUAGUUGGUAAGGUAACGGCUUACCAAGGCAACGAUGCGUAGCCGACCUGAGAGGGUGAUCGGCCACACUGGAACUGAGACACGGUCCAGACUCCUACGGGAGGCAGCAGUAGGGAAUCUUCCGCAAUGGGCGAAAGCCUGACGGAGCAACGCCGCGUGAGUGAUGAAGGUCUUCGGAUCGUAAAGCUCUGUUAUUAGGGAAGAACAAAUGUGUAAGUAACUAUGCACGUCUUGACGGUACCUAAUCAGAAAGCCACGGCUAACUACGUG